This 100-nucleotide transfer RNA is filed under the name Sclerotinia borealis F-4128. It matches the Rfam family "tRNA". Rfam says of the family: Transfer RNA (tRNA) molecules are approximately 80 nucleotides in length. Their secondary structure includes four short double-helical elements and three loops (D, anti-codon, and T loops). The record is from Rfam by way of RNAcentral. Lineage: Eukaryota; Fungi; Ascomycota; Leotiomycetes; Helotiales; Sclerotiniaceae.
UCCCUCGUGGCGCAAUUGGCUAGCGCGUUCGACUGUUACUUGAAUUAAUUUAAGCUUGCAGACCAUCGAGAGGUUGGUGGUUCAAGCCCACCCGAGGGAG